This 208-nucleotide ribosomal RNA is filed under the name uncultured bacterium. RNAcentral describes it as "partial 16S ribosomal RNA". It matches the Rfam family "Bacterial small subunit ribosomal RNA", at positions 524 to 731 of the family's 1533-position model. The record is from RNAcentral.
UACGAAGGGUGCAAGCGUUACUCGGAAUCACUGGGCGUAAAGCGUGCGUAGGCGGUUGGUUAAGUCUGCUGUGAAAGCCCUGGGCUCAACCUGGGAACUGCAGUGGAUACUGGCCAGCUCGAGUGUGAUAGAGGAUGGUGGAAUUCCCGGUGUAGCGGUGAAAUGCGUAGAGAUCGGGGAGGAACACCAGUGGCGAAGGCGGCCUCUG